UACGUAGGGACCAAGCGUUGUUCGGAUUUACUGGGCGUAAAGGGCGCGUAGGCGGCCAUUCAAGUCAGCUGUGAAAUCUCCGAGCUUAACUCGGAACGGUCAGCUGAUACUGUUUUGCUAGAGUGCAGAAAGGGCAACCGGAAUUCUUGGUGUAGCGGUGAAAUGCGUAGAUAUCAAGAGGAACACCUGAGGCGAAGGCGGGUUGCUAGGCUGACACUGACGCUGAGGCGCGAAAGCUAGGGUAGCAAACGGG
RNAcentral lists this ribosomal RNA (253 nucleotides) under uncultured bacterium. RNAcentral's name for it is "partial 16S ribosomal RNA". It matches the Rfam family "Bacterial small subunit ribosomal RNA", at positions 524 to 776 of the family's 1533-position model. The record is from RNAcentral.